This 2107-nucleotide long non-coding RNA is filed under the name Chrysemys picta bellii (western painted turtle). RNAcentral's name for it is "lncRNA (ENSCPBG00000027290.1)". Lineage: Eukaryota; Metazoa; Chordata; Testudines; Emydidae. The record is from RNAcentral.
CACUUUUGGCUAAGGAGCUCCAGAUUGCACCGAGAAAAAGAAUAAAGCGGCUAGCUCAGAAGAAAGAUAACUCGGUCACCCUUCUCCAUCCGUCACAGGGGAAGACCGGGACAUGAAUUGGCAAGCCAAAGGAGUUUCAAAGGGUCCUUGGUUUCCCAUGUAUCAUCAUCACCAUCCAUUUGUUUCUUUCAUCCAUCACAUUCCAACAUGGGUUAUCCCAGCUCAGACCAAUUCCUUGAGUGAAUGACCGAGGGCCUUGGGCUACGCAGAGACCUGGAAAGAGAGGGCAAUGGGCUUUCUAAGGCAUCGGGGCCUGAAUUCUCCAGCAUGACUGCGAUGCCUCAAGAAUCAUGGCGACAUCGGCCUUCUGGACCGGCCUUCCUCACCGUCGCUGAAUCCCCAGGGCCGGGAAUUUAUUGUUUGAAGGAGCCCAACAAUCCUGGCCUGUUCUUUCUUUUAUUGAUCCUUGGACGGAGUCCUAAAUAUUUCCAGCCUCCCCGGGAGGGUUGAAAUUUUGGCACCGGCGGUUCUUUUUCUGCCGGGAAGUGGAAGCCAAAGGAGUCAGAUUGCAGCCUUCACACAUUUCCAGGCCUUUGGAACAGUCUUUCCCACCGAGGAGGAGGGCUGGAACUGUCAGGCCAACUUCCCCUAAACAGAAACACAUGGCUGAACUUUGGCUUGCCAGGGAGGGGGGAAAAAAAAAAAUCAACCUGUGUGAGGAAAAGGCCUGGAUCAGGGAUCGAUUAGACAGGGCCAGAGCAAACCUGGAAUAUGAGAGAUUCGGUGGCUCUUGGAGGGGAGGGGGGGGAGAAAAAUGACUUUCAGAGCACAAAAAGGAGAGGAAAUUAAAAACCUUAGUAAAACCACACACUGCUGUGAACUAGGCCAAACGAAGAGGGGGACAGAUUUACAGAUCCCUGGAGCCAAUUUAGGGGGAGUGGUCUGCGUUCAAAAUUCAGACACCCCUCCCGGACUUCUUGUACCCUAAUAUUCAAUGAGACCCAUUCCGGACCCCCACUUCUACCCUUACGCACCGAUCCAGCAGUGGAUCGGAGCCACAAAGAGCAUUAUGUGAUCGGGUAGAACUCAGCAGAGCAGUGCAGAGCGGACGUAAUUGACUUUUCACUGCCAUCCUCACAAGCCCAGGAGUAGAGGCUGCACUGGGGCAGGAGGGGCAGUAACCGUAGUCCUCAAUGCUAAGGAGAUUCUGAGCUGCAUUGCUUCCCAGAAAAGGUUGCCAUAAGUUGGAGCCGUUGGGGGCUGCUCUAAGUUAUGCCAGGGACCAUUUUGGCCCCUGCAGCAGCCUGGUAUCUGGGCAGCAAAAGUGGCAUAAAGCCACGUUGGCCCUGCCUGGAUUGUGCCUUCUGUGCGUUCCAUCUCUCUGGAGACACAGCACAGAAUCUGGCCCAAUGAUUGCCCAACGGGAGAAAAUACAGAGAAACCUUCAACGAAACAGUAGCUGCCGUACACGGGCCUUUUAGCUAAAUGCCAAGUUCUAGGAGAAAAUCCCACAGAAGCACUUAGAAUCUUUAUAUUAAAUACCCAACGAGUCCAUCAGGAUUAAAGGCAUUGCCGUAAAUUCCAGCCGAAUUAAUAACCAUUAGGCCAUCAUGUGAAAACACUCCUGAGCUGGUGUGCAUAAGCCUCGUUGUAAAUCAUCAGUAGCCAAUCCUCUUUUCACAAACAGAUCCGUCCAUUUGUCAGCCGUGCUUCAUGAGACAAAUUAAAAUGUUCGUGUAACAUCGUACAACAGCAAGGCAGAAACUCAGCGGGCAGUUAGAGCUCCCGCAUGGACAUGCGGGCAGCGUCCUGCUAUUCGUCAUCCUUUAACACGCCGCCGACUGGACAACAGCCUGGGGAGGGACAGCUGAUAUGCCACCGCUUUGUUCUGACGCUUUCCAAGUUCCUGGUGGAAAUGAUGAAGCGCGCAACUGGUUUUAUGCACAGAUAAAGCAGCCUACAAAAUUCUACUGCCCCCUUAGGAAGCUGGUUUGCUGUUUUUGAUUUGCAAGAAAACUGCUCUGGCCAAGAUUGGUCAUACAUGACUAGUGAUUGUGAGUGCCCAACUUGACAGGCCUUCAAAUAAUAAAAGAAACAAAUAACAUCA